Molecule: long non-coding RNA, 908 nt
Organism: Cyprinus carpio carpio
Lineage: Eukaryota; Metazoa; Chordata; Actinopteri; Cypriniformes; Cyprinidae
Source: Ensembl
ACAAGAUUACUUGCUGUUUGCACCUGGUUGUCAUAAUUAGAGCACUGAUGACAGGGGAGGAGUUAAUUGAGAUGAAGAUCACACCGAGGAGGGUGCGAUGCGUACAUGGCUCUGCAUGAACGCUUCACGGCUAUUUAGAGUGAUAAUUACUCCCUCGGUCACCUUAAACAGCAUUAACAGGCUUUUUGACAGUUAAGGGCUGAAACAUACUCUACAUGAGGACAUGAGCUACUGGUGGUGUACAAAAAAGAAUUCAUUAGACUACUUGUUGAGAAGUUGAGUACUGAGAUUACCACCAGAGACACACAAGACAGAAGUAUAUGGCUAAGCAUUCACUUCUGUGUAUCUUUGUGAGAGUUCCUCACAGUUCCUCUCUCAUUGACACACACAGCAGUUCAACCUUUCCCAUAAAAUUCCAAACCACAUCAAUAUUACACAGAUCUAGUGAGUCGGGUAAAUUAUGUAGAUUAUGUUUUGAAAGACUGGGAACACUUUUCUCACAUCAGAGCUGGGUGAGCUGCUCCACCUGGGCACAUUUUGAUGUAAACACGGAAGGGAGUGCUUUCAUUAGCCACGUUCAUAUUAUUGAUAUGCACCUUUUGAGGAGGGAGUGUGGGAACAGAGGCUUUUCGGAGACGAAGGAACUGCUGUUUGUACUGAGGAAAGGUUUUUGUUCCCGAGCUACACAGUGUUGCACCCCACAGUCAAAAACCCAGAUGAAGAAACUGAACAGAAAGUCAUAUUUCACUAACCUAACACCUAUAGUUGCCAUCAACUUGAUAAAAAUAGCUUUAGAUAAAACAACUUUUGCAAGCAAACUGUGUCUAGGGUUUAACUCACAGGCUCUUGGCAAGAUAUUUUCUUCAACAAAGCUCCAUUUUCUCAAACAUAUUGGUCUUUUAUGUUAU